RNAcentral lists this unclassified non-coding RNA (331 nucleotides) under soil metagenome. Its description in RNAcentral is "partial contains 5.8S ribosomal RNA, internal transcribed spacer 2, and large subunit ribosomal RNA". The stretch from base 1 to 121 matches the Rfam family "5.8S ribosomal RNA", at positions 35 to 154 of the family's 154-position model. The record is from RNAcentral.
GAUGAAGAACGUAGCGAAAUGCGAUAAGUAAUGCGAAUUGCAGAAUUUCCGUGAGUCAUCGAAUCUUUGAACGCACAUUGCGCCCCCUGGAAUUCCGGGGGGCAUGCCUGUUCGAGCGUCAUUUCACCACUCAAGCCUCGCUUGGUAUUGGGCAACGCGGUCCGCCGCGUGCCUCAAAUCGACCGGCUGGGUCUUCUGUCCCCUAAGCGUUGUGGAAACUUUCGCUAAAGGGUGUUCGGGAGGCUACGCCGUAAAACAACCCCAUUUCUAAGGUUGACCUCGGAUCAGGUAGGGAUACCCGCUGAACUUAAGCAUAUCAAUAAGCGGAGGA